CUUAAGAUGAGGCGAUUGUUCUGUAUUAUCUGGCUGGGCCUUAAAAGGAAUUACUUGUAUCCUUAUAAGAAGGAGACCGAGCGAUCUUACUACACACAAAGGGGUAGGUGAUAUGAAAAAAAAAAAAAAGAAAGAAAAAAAAACCGGACACUUGAAGAUUCUGGCCUUGAAGAUUAGAGGGAAGACACAAGGCAAAGAAUGUUGACAGCCACCAGAAGAUGAAAAAGGCAAGAAAAGGAUAUUUCCCUAGAGCCUCGGUAG
This 261-nucleotide long non-coding RNA is filed under the name Homo sapiens (human). RNAcentral describes it as "non-protein coding lnc-FAT4-3:1". The record is from RNAcentral. Lineage: Eukaryota; Metazoa; Chordata; Mammalia; Primates; Hominidae.